CCAGACUCCUACGGGAGGCAGCAGUGGGGAAUAUUGCACAAUGGGGGGAACCCUGAUGCAGCGACGCCGCGUGGGUGAAGGAGCACCUCGGUGCGUAAAGCCCUAUCGGCAGGGAAGAAAAGCGAACAGGUUCGCCUGGACGGUACCUGACUAAGAAGCCCCGGCUAACUACGUGCCAGCAGCCGCGGUAAUACGUAGGGGGCAAGCGGUAUCCGGAUUUACUGGGUGUAAAGGGGGCGCAGACGGCGAUGCAAGCCAGGAGUGAAAGCCCGGGGCCCAACCCCGGGACUGCUCUUGGAACUGCGUGGCUGGAGUGCAGGAGGGGCAGGCGGAAUUCCUGGUGUAGCGGUGAAAUGCGUAGAUAUCAGGAGGAACACCGGUGGC
Molecule: ribosomal RNA, 384 nt
Filed under: uncultured bacterium
Lineage: Bacteria
Description: bacterial SSU rRNA
Rfam family: Bacterial small subunit ribosomal RNA
Source: RNAcentral